UCACCACCACCGAAUGAUCUUGCAAAGUGUAAAGUCUCCAUGUUUCAGUACAAACUAGUGGCGUCAAUAACCAAGCAAUAUCAGGCAGAAGGUAAAUUCUAGUAAAUGGUGAUUAGUAGACAAAAAUAGGAAAUAGAUUGCACCAGUAGCAAGCAGAAGCUAAAUUUUAGUAACUGAUGAUUAAUUAUAACAUAGCAUCUCCAGCCCUGCUGUCCUGGUUAGUGCAACUACAAAACAGGAAAUGUUUUUUAUUUAUACACGGAGCAGUAAUGAAGUAAGGCUUUGCUGUCCUAGUUAGUGCAACUACAAUUUUUUUUUGAAUGGUUGGUACUACAGAUCAUACUUCAAAAGCUCGAAGAUAUUGAGAAGCUCAGAUCAAACAUAAAGCACACAUAAAUACACUCCCCUUCUGCUCAAUGGCAGUGCACAAUAUACUUAUUCAUAUCUACAUGCCCGUUCAUACAAAAUAAGAAUUAAAAAAAUAAGGUACAUAGCUUCUACAACUCACGUUGAAGGUGCUUGAAGAAAAGAAUAAGCCAAGAAAAUAGCAAUCAUCGCAAAGACACCC
This 568-nucleotide ribosomal RNA is filed under the name Triticum aestivum (bread wheat). RNAcentral's name for it is "partial small subunit ribosomal RNA". The record is from RNAcentral. Lineage: Eukaryota; Viridiplantae; Streptophyta; Magnoliopsida; Poales; Poaceae.